Long non-coding RNA from Propithecus coquereli (Coquerel's sifaka), 408 nucleotides. RefSeq lists it as uncharacterized. The record is from RefSeq and is a predicted model, not a curated record. The transcript is spliced from 3 exons. NCBI's taxonomy places the organism in Eukaryota, Metazoa, Chordata, Mammalia, Primates, Indriidae.
GAAUUGGUGGAGCAGUCACAGCUACAGAUGGGCUAAGCGAAGAGCUCACAGAGGAGGCAUUUACUAACCAGUUACCAGCUGGCUUAAUAACCACAGAUGGUCAACAACAAAAUGUUAUGGUUUACACGACAUCAUAUCAACAGAUUUCUGGUGUUCAACAAAUUCAGUUUUCAUGAUCUGAAGAAAUGGAAUGGAGAGUGUGGAGAAGUGAGAGUCUGUAUGAUUCUGGAGCAGAGACAUCAGAAGGAAAUGACUGGUGAAAAGAUGUCUCUUUGUACAUUAAUAGCUGUAAUGUAGCUUCCUGAUGCUUGACUAAUUGAGGUGUUAAUUCUGACUUGAGAAUCCUUUUCAUGAAUGAUUUUAAAGAAAAAUUUGGAUUUUAAAGGUAUUAAAAUAUUUUUGUUUUGU